UACGGGGGGGGCAAGCGUUGUUCGGAAUUACUGGGCGUAAAGGGCUCGUAGGCGGCCAACUAAGUCGGAUGUGAAAUCCCCAGGCUUAACCGGGGAACUGCGUCUGAUACUGGAUGGCUUGAGUUCGGGAGAGGGAUGCGGAAUUCCAGGUGUAGCGGUGAAAUGCGUAGAUAUCUGGAGGAACACCGGUGGCGAAGGCGGCAUCCUGGACCGAUACUGACACUGAGGAGCGAAAGCCAGGGGAGCAAACGGG
Molecule: ribosomal RNA, 253 nt
Filed under: uncultured bacterium
Lineage: Bacteria
Description: partial 16S ribosomal RNA
Rfam family: Bacterial small subunit ribosomal RNA
Source: RNAcentral